Molecule: transfer RNA, 85 nt
Filed under: bacterium
Lineage: Bacteria
Description: tRNA-Thr
Rfam family: tRNA
About the family: Transfer RNA (tRNA) molecules are approximately 80 nucleotides in length.
Source: RNAcentral
GCGUCCGUGGCGAAACUAGGUAAACGCAGUGGAUUUGUAAUCCACCAUCCCCUCGGAUUUGCGGGUUCAAGUCCCGUCGGACGCA